This 261-nucleotide unclassified non-coding RNA is filed under the name Hysterographium sp. RNAcentral describes it as "partial contains 5.8S ribosomal RNA, internal transcribed spacer 2, and large subunit ribosomal RNA". Lineage: Eukaryota; Fungi; Ascomycota; Dothideomycetes; Hysteriales; Hysteriaceae. The record is from RNAcentral.
CGCACAUUGCGCCCUCUGGUACCCCGGAGGGCAUGCCUGUCCGAGCGUCGUUUCUCCCUCAAGCCCAAGGCUUGGUGUUGGGCUAGCCGUCGUAAAUCCUGCGUCCAGCGGGUUUUGAACGCGCCCCAAAUACCUCGUGCGGCGCCGCGUCGUCCAGGAGCGUAGCAGUGCUUUUCGCUCAUCGGCUCGCGUAGUGCCCGUCGUGAACAACGCUUACCACGAGUUGACCUCGGAUCAGGCAGGGAUACCCGCUGAACUUAA